This 253-nucleotide ribosomal RNA is filed under the name uncultured bacterium. RNAcentral's name for it is "partial 16S ribosomal RNA". It matches the Rfam family "Bacterial small subunit ribosomal RNA", at positions 524 to 776 of the family's 1533-position model. The record is from RNAcentral.
UACGUAGGUGGCAAGCGUUGUCCGGAUUUAUUGGGUUUAAAGGGUGCGUAGGCGGCUUUUUAAGUCAGUGGUGAAAUACUUCAGCUCAACUGGAGAGGUGCCAUUGAUACUGGGAUGCUUGAGUACUGAUGAGGUAGGCGGAAUGGACGGUGUAGCGGUGGAAUGCUUAGAUAUCGUCCAGAACACCGAUAGCGAAGGCAGCUUACUAAGGAGUAACUGACGCUGAGGCACGAAAGUGUGGGGAUCAAACAGG